UACGUAGGCAGCGAGCGUUGUUCGGAGUUACUGGGCGUAAAGAGUACGUAGGCGGUUUGCUAAGUCUGGUGUGAAAUCUCCUGGCUUAACUGGGAGGGUGCGCUAGAUACUGGCAGGCUUGAGUAUGGGAGAGGAGAGUGGAAUUCCUGGUGUAGCGGUGAAAUGCGUAGAUAUCAGGAGGAACGCCGGUGGUGUAGACGGCUCUCUGGACCAUUACUGACGCUGAGGUACGAAAGCGUGGGUAGCAAACAGG
RNAcentral lists this ribosomal RNA (253 nucleotides) under uncultured bacterium. RNAcentral describes it as "partial 16S ribosomal RNA". It matches the Rfam family "Bacterial small subunit ribosomal RNA", at positions 524 to 776 of the family's 1533-position model. The record is from RNAcentral.